Long non-coding RNA from Arabidopsis thaliana (thale cress), 269 nucleotides. RefSeq annotates it as other RNA. The record is from RefSeq. The transcript has 2 exons. Lineage: Eukaryota; Viridiplantae; Streptophyta; Magnoliopsida; Brassicales; Brassicaceae.
UUCACACUGCAAAAUAUCCUCCCAAAACCUAGUGCCGUCGUUGGCGAUUGCGUUUCUCAUCUUCUUCAAUCAAGCCCAGAACUUGAUUGUCUCUUUCAAACCUUCUUCUCGUUCUCGUCACCGUUAGCAAUCCAAGUAUUAAUUUAUGAUUCUCCUUUCGCCGGCGAAUUUAGUAAGGCUAAUCUUUUUUUUCCUCUCGUCGCCGUUUGCGAGAGAAGUUUUAAUUCGUUCUCCUCCUCUCCAAUCUGGUAUUCGCCAACGAAUCUUGU